GUUGGGCACAGUGGUACAUGCCUGUAAUCCCAGCUACUUGGGAGGCUGAGGCAGGAGGAUUGCAAGUUCAAGGUCAGCCUGGACAAUUUAAUGAGACCCUGUCUCAA
RNAcentral lists this small RNA (107 nucleotides) under Marmota monax (woodchuck). Lineage: Eukaryota; Metazoa; Chordata; Mammalia; Rodentia; Sciuridae. The record is from RNAcentral.